This 4434-nucleotide long non-coding RNA is filed under the name Mustela putorius furo (domestic ferret). RNAcentral's name for it is "lncRNA (ENSMPUG00000029748.1)". The record is from RNAcentral. Lineage: Eukaryota; Metazoa; Chordata; Mammalia; Carnivora; Mustelidae.
AUGUGCAUGGUUCCCUUUUGUCACAAGUUUGCUUGUUGUGGGUGUGUGGGGGUCACACCUAUGCUGUGGCCUUUUGAAGAUGAACCUCGAAAUACGCAGUCAUGCAGCGGGCAGGACAGUUCACGGAGCCCUGGGGCUUUGAUUCCCGCCCGUACCUGCACCCGGGAACGGGGGCAGCGGGCCGUGGGAGCAAGAGGCACCAGGCCUCCCUCAUGUGCAGACACGGGGAGCGGCCGGCGGCCACCCGCCCAUGUUGGGUGUGACCUGUGGGACACUGGAAAGGCUGUUUCCGGGGCUGGUGCGGUGGUCUGUCACGUAGGUCAGCCGGUGAGUGCGGUGGUCUGUCACGUAGGUCAGCCUGUGAGUGCGGUGGUCUGUCACGUAGGUCAGCCGGUGAGUGCGGUGGUCUGUCACGUAGGUCAGCUGGUCCCUGGAGCUGUGUGUCCGAGUGGCUCAAGUGACAGCAGUGUUUGGUCACAGUUCUGGAGGCUGAAGUCCACACCAAGACGUUUGUGGGUCGGUUUCCCCUGGGGGCCGGGAGGGAGGUUGUGUCCCGGCGUCUGUCCUUGCGUGGCUGGCGUCCGUCUUCCCCAUUUCUGUCCACGUGGUGCCCUUCCCACAAGUGUGUCUCUGUGUCCUGAGAUCAGGGCCCACCCUGGUGACCUCAUCUUCACAGGCGACUCUGCUCUGACCCUGUCUCUGACCCUGGAUCCUUCUGAGGCCCUGGGGGGCAGGCCCUCCGCGUGUGAAUCCCGGGAGGACGCGAUUCCACCCGUAAGCGCGAGCUGUCUUUAUUUGCCAGGAGCUCUUGUAAAGCCCUGAUUACUGCCGGGAUUUGGGUGGAUUAGGAGGGAACCGUUCGGCCGUGUACAGCGAGGCGCGUUCUGGGCGAGACCUGACGUGCGGGGCGCACGCUGCUGGGGCGGGCGGUGCGUGGCCCCAGCCUCUGAGCUCAUGCGGGAGCGCAAUCCUGGACAGCGCGUGUCCCUCCUCCCUCAGCGCCGGUGUCCGUGCUGGUGGGCGCCGAGGACCCUCUGGGGUCGGACAGGCUACGGCCGAGCCUGGUGUCCACGUGGGAUCCGGCCUAGGUUCACCUCCUUGUGCCCCACCUCCCACGGAAGUCACCGAAUGCCGCAUCCCUGGGGACAUGCUCCCUCGGCAGUGGCACCUCGCAGGGUCCAGGCCGUGGCCAGCGGCGGGACGCCCAGCCUAAACAGGAACAGUUUUAGGAAAAGAAGGAACUUGAAAAGGGACCGAUGACGAUUACUUGUCCUUUAUUCUUUGUUGUUUAUUAGGCCUUUGUUUCCAGUAAGAGAUCGGUUUUCUCUUCCCCAAGUUUUAUAGAAGAACAAAGGAGACCUGAAGUGUUUAACGAUUUUAUCUAAUUCCGUAACUUGUGAUUAUAUUGUAUUUCCCAGAAUGAGUUGGCUUUUUUUUUUUAAAUUAGGAAAAGAUUAGGAAAAGAAAACACAUAAAACAUUGAACCCCCUGAGCCUACACACCAGUCGAGGAAAGAACCUAUCACAGACAGUUGAAGCGAGAGAACUAGUGAAACUAAAAGCUUCUAAAAACCAUGUACGUGGAAAAGGGAAGUGGGCGGAAGACAGUCCCAAGAGUGCGUCAUAUCUGACCUCGUGCUGCCUGAGACAGUGCCUGAGGCCCCGUCCCCUGGGGGCCACAUCCCACGGGGGCCACGUCCCACGGGAGCCACGUCCCACGGGGGGGUCACAUCCCACGGGGUCACGCUGGAGACGGCCCACUCUGAUUUCGAUGUGUUCUCACUGUGAAAGGUGCAUCCACUCGAAGACUGAGUACAAAAAAAAGGGAUGUGAAAUGUCUCCGUCAUGUUCUUUUAUGUUGAUCAGAGGUUGAAAUAACACUAUUUGGGACUAAUUGGGUUAAAUAAACUAUGACUACAUGAUUUUUGUCUGUUUCUUGUGACUUUUUUAAUGUGGCCGCGGGAGAAUGUGACCCUGAAGGGCCUUGCCUCUGUGGCGCACGUCCUGUUCCCGCUAGACGGCGCUGGUCCUGGUUCCCGGGAGCUUCACGGGGCGGGGGUGGGGAGCCCCUCGUCUCCGAGACCCGCAGUCCCAGAGCGAGGGGGGCGAGCCUCGUGUGUGUCCGCCCGCCGGACCCCGUGCGUCCUCGUGCAAGCCUGUUCGUGGGCACUGCUCGCAGCGGGUCUGGCCGUUACCAAUGGCCCGGCGGGUUCGCUCCUCUUAGUGAAGUGUCCUGUAGCGGCUCCCGCACCGUGUGGACGGGGACCGUGGAGUGAGUCCACACCCAGAAUUUUAAAGGCUGUGUCUGUCUUCCACUGUGGAAAUGCUGGGGCGCGUCUACACUACGAGGGGGCCGUGCUUGCCUGUGGCAGGUGUGCCUGAGAGAGGCCGGCCCGGGAGCCCCACGCCUCCCCGGGGUUGCGCUGGGUUGACAAGGCAGUCGGCGUCUUCCCGGGCGCAUCUCGUGGGCGGCUACGCUCCUGGAAUGUUCUGUGUGGGCACCUCCUUCGCGGAGGGCCAGCCGGUUUCUCCGGCCACAGGUGUGCGGUGCUCCAAGCUCCACAGGUGUGCGGAGCUCCAACGUGCUUGGGCUGGGCUGCGUGAAGCUGCCCCCAGCUCCUCCUGUCACCUCCGGCCUUGGGGCCUUGGGGACGGCAGGCCGGCCGCCAAGCUGCCUCCUAGGCCUGGGCCCUGGACACAGGCUCUCCCUUGUCGCACAGACCGUGUGUCUCUGUGCCACGGGAGCAGAUACCGAGUGGCCGUGGGGCCAGCCAGGGGCUGACGCUGGCCCCGGGAGCCACACCCGCACCAAGGCCCCAGAGGCAUAAAGAGCCAGCCGCCCCGCUGUGGUGGGGUCUGCGGGGAGAAGCCCUGACUUGCACUGGGCUGGGCAGCCCUGACACAAAGGAGGGCGUAUCUUCUUCCCUCCUGGCUGGUGGCUCUGCCUCCUGCAGGUGCUGGGACCCUGGAGUCCUGGGCGUCCCUGGGCAGAAGGCCCCAGGACAGCACGGCCAGCAGGCCGCAAGGUGAUGGCCGGAGGUCCCUGGGACCCCGCCGGCCUGGUUCUGGAGUCUCUGCAAGCCACCUGCAGGAGGGCCAGCUGGGCCCUGGGGACUUCCCCCCAGCAGCCUUUAGCUCUGUUUCCUAGAAGAGGCACCUCUGACCCAUUGGUCACCACUGUCCCCAGGCAUCUGUGACCCUGAUCAGAGCCUUCAUGAACCUCCCCAAAUAGUCUCCAGGGCUGGGGACCAGGCCCCAGGUGCAGCCGGUGACCCCCCCGUCCCUCGUCCCCCUCCCCCACCCUGUCCUUUCCCUCUCUCUGUCAUGGGAACGUUUGAGGGCAGGCGAUAUGGGGAGUGGCCUUCGUUAGCAAUUACGCUUCCAGCUGGAGAACACACCGCGGGGCGGGGCCCCGGCCCCUCCGGCCGCCGCUGCGUUCUCACUGCCCCUCUGGGAGAAGCACCUGCGCUUCCCUGUCUAAGCGAGCCUGUGUGGCCACGUGACCUGUGUGGUCACUGCCCCCGGCUAAGGUCCACCUGGACCGUGGACACCCCGUUGCGCUGACCGUGUCACCGUCUCUUUUGUUCCCGCAUCUGCCGUCCCCUCCCCUGUCCCCCUCACCACCCAGGACACCAGAGUCUGGCACGGGGGUGCCAACGUCCCCAGUGGGUAGCCUCCGGGCAGGAGCAGAGGCCCCCAACUGCCGGGCACCUGCAGAGUCACGAACAUCCUGCCCCGUGUCUCUCCCACGCUCGCGGGCUGCUGUCUGGUGCCACUGGUUUGGAUGGAGACGUGUCGUCCACUUCCGCAGCCGCCGCCCGGCCGCCGCGCGCAGAGGUGACCGUCCUGCCUGUGGCUGUUUGGGUUUCUGCGUCUCCUUAAGCUUCUCGCCAAUUGCUCUUCCCAGGACUUUGUCCUUCCGGCUUCGUUGAAAGUCUGUUCCCCUAUAGCUGCUCCUCAAGCCCCCCGGGUCUCAGAAACCCCGCAGCACUGGGCUCUUGCCCCAGCAUUAUUCGUGCGUCUCUGUCUCGGUCUUGUCCCGCUUGUCAAAACUCUGUCAAUUUCAUCGAUCCUCUCAAAGAGCCAACUUCCCGGCUUUCCGUACAGUUUUUAGUUCAUUCAUUUCUGCUUUUUAAAUUAUUUCCUUUUUCCUGUGCUUUUUGUUUCUCUAACUUCGUGAGUCGUAUUCUGUCUCAUUUGUUUUCAACCUCUUAGAAUUUCCUGCCGCACUUAGGUGUCACCCUUCCCUGAUGAUCGAAGAUCUGGACCGUUUAAGCCUUUAUAAGUUGUGACAGGAAACCCUUUGUUACUGUUCCACUCCGUGGGUUUUUAGAUACGUAAUUUUUUUCACCAUUGAUAACUGUUUUGCAUUUCUAAAUAUAUGGAGAUUUUCCAAACAUCUUUUUGUUGCCUUUUUAAAAUUAUUAUUAUUUUG